GUACUACAUGCUCGACAAUGCCCAAGUAGCCAUCUUCCUUGGUUUUCACUCACUGCAUACAAAGGCACAUUCGGUUUUGCCUCCUACUGCUGAAAGGAACAUGACCAUAUUCCUUCCAAAAGAUGCAACAAAGAGGAUGAACAGCAGGAGUAAACCAAACAUGCAGACCAAAUAGGUACUUCAUGUUUUAGUUCCAACAUUUGUGUCUUCCUAAAGAGGAUGGACAGCAGGAGUAAACCAAACAUGCAAACCAAAUAGAUGUUAACAUGUGGAGGAGACGGUCAAACAGGAUGGUUCUUCAUUGGUGGAUUAUGUUGAAAUGCACCGUGUUUCUCUUUGCCUUUCCCCACCUUUUUCCCCCUUAAACCACCUGAGUGCCCAUUGGCAACGUAUAUGAGGGUACUUUUUGGUCAUAAUAAAUCUACAAAUACUGAACUGUGUUUGUACCACAUUCCAAAUGUUAACAUUGGAAUCUCUAUUAUAAUGCCAUCUAUGUUUUUAGCUAUUCAGUA
Long non-coding RNA from Triticum dicoccoides, 512 nucleotides. RefSeq lists it as uncharacterized. The record is from RefSeq and is a predicted model, not a curated record. The transcript is spliced from 3 exons. NCBI's taxonomy places the organism in Eukaryota, Viridiplantae, Streptophyta, Magnoliopsida, Poales, Poaceae.